UCCAUAUUGAAGUUUACCUAAGAGCUAUUGAUCUCAAUUGUCUAAUCUUAUGUUGGUCAAGAUCAUGUCUGAGUAUUUGAAUUUUAUCUUUAUUCAUAUACUUGGGAAUGAGUUGAAGUUUGGGGCUCCAUUCUUCUAGCCCUUGCCACCUCUAAAAAUGUAAAAAAUGCUAUCUCAAAAAAAAAUAAAACGACCAAAAUACACAUAAAUCUAUGAGUCUUUUGGUCAUCUUAUUUUUCUUGAAU
This 245-nucleotide long non-coding RNA is filed under the name Amborella trichopoda. RNAcentral describes it as "long non-coding RNA (ATRI_LNC000269)". The record is from RNAcentral. Lineage: Eukaryota; Viridiplantae; Streptophyta; Magnoliopsida; Amborellales; Amborellaceae.